Molecule: RNA transcript, 7270 nt
Organism: Zalophus californianus (California sea lion)
Lineage: Eukaryota; Metazoa; Chordata; Mammalia; Carnivora; Otariidae
Gene: MCTS1
Gene name: MCTS1 re-initiation and release factor
Exons: 7
Source: RefSeq, a predicted model, not a curated record
CUUCCUGCAGCUGGAAUGAUUGCUCUAUCUAUCUCUUCUUCCUUCUCUAGUCCCGCCCUUCCAACUCUCCUCUCUGGAGGGGGAAUCGGUCGCCCAAAAAGGGCCGGCAAAAGCGCCGACGUGUUCAGAGGAGCGGAAGUAGUCAAAUUUCAUUGAGAACCGUAAAGUGCGGCUGGCUGUCUCCCUUUCCGGAUAACGACAGCAGCUCCGACUGUCAGUGCCGGCCUUCCUCGUGUUAAGAGGAUCUGCCGGACCCUUGCUAAUUCAAAUUUUUUCCCAUUCCGGGCCCUUCCCUAUCGUCGCCCCCUUCACCUUGGAUCAUGUUCAAGAAAUUUGAUGAAAAAGAAAAUGUGUCCAACUGCAUCCAGUUGAAAACCUCAGUUAUAAAGGGUAUUAAGAACCAAUUGAUAGAACAAUUUCCAGGUAUUGAGCCAUGGCUUAAUCAAAUCAUGCCUAAGAAAGAUCCUGUCAAAAUAGUGCGAUGCCAUGAACAUAUAGAAAUCCUUACAGUAAAUGGAGAAUUACUAUUUUUUAGACAAAGAGAAGGGCCUUUUUAUCCAACCCUAAGGUUACUUCACAAAUAUCCUUUUAUCCUGCCACACCAGCAAGUUGAUAAAGGAGCCAUCAAAUUUGUACUCAGUGGAGCAAAUAUCAUGUGUCCAGGUUUAACUUCUCCUGGAGCUAAACUUUACCCUGCUGCAGUAGAUACGAUUGUUGCAAUCAUGGCAGAAGGAAAACAGCAUGCUCUGUGUGUCGGAGUCAUGAAGAUGUCUGCAGAAGAUAUUGAGAAAGUCAACAAAGGAAUUGGCAUUGAAAAUAUCCAUUAUUUAAAUGAUGGGCUGUGGCAUAUGAAGACGUAUAAAUGAGCCUCGGAAGGAAUGCACUUGGCUAAAUAUGGAUAUUGUGCUGUAUCUGUGUUUGUGUCUGUGUGUGACAGCAUGAAGACAAUACCUCUGGUUAUGCUGAAUAAAUUCAACAGAUGCUAAAAUUCUGUUGGCUUCAAAAAUUAUUUUAAUUUUUCUUAAAGUCAAGUUAAGAUUGGGUAGCAAACUUGGACAUUAAGAGGUAUUUGAUGGAUACAGACAUUUACAAGAUUGUGGUGACCCAUGUUACAGUUAGAAGGUGGUGAGAAAGGUGAGGGUGGAUAGUAAAAAGAGAGAGACCAUUUGGCUGGCUGUUGCAGCUGGACCCCCAAGAUAUAACAUAGGUGAAGGUUAUUGAUCCAGGCUCUGACCCUCAGACUGAGAAACUAUUUCCCACUAAUGAAACUUGUAAGACUUGAGGAGUCCCACAUUAGAAUGUGAAUGUGUUAAUUUAUAGUGGUAAGUCUGCUUAGGAUACACAAUUAGUAAACAGGAAGUUUCUUGGUGAACAUGGAUAAGAGUAAGGGAAGGUUGAAAUUUGGGGGAAUAUUUCAUCUGGGCUGGUGUAAGGCUUAGAGAAUUUUUCUUACUUCAUCAUUAAUUAGAAUGCUUAUGUCUGCCACAAUCUUUCCUAGCCUGUAGAGGAACCCUGAUAUUUUACUUCCUAUAUUCUUUUUAAGUUCUAUGUAGAAUAUUUUCCUUUGUCAUGACAGUUAUAUUCUACAACUUAGUAUAUUGUUAUAUUUUACUAUUUAUUCCUGAUGGAUAAAAGUAUAGUCUCAUCAGUGACCCAUUUAUAAAUCAUCCUUCAGAGUAGGUUUCUUCAACAGUCUCAUUUUGUGCUGACUUACCAGUUUCAAAUUCAGAUGUCUCUCCACUUGAGGGAUGAGGCACCCUAUUUGAGGCCUGUAGCACCUUACAUUCUUAAAAAGAGACUAUCUGAGUCAUUGAUGUCAAAACCAAACUUUGAACCUCUAGUUUUGGUACUAAGUUAAUGUUAAUCGACCAAGAUUGCCUAUGGAGUGUUAGCAAUGACAAACAAAGCACAUACAUAUUAGAGAAGUUAAAACCUUUAAUUGCUUGGUUUCUGAAAUAAUUUAUCCUUAUUUCUAACCACUGUUAACAGUGGGUGUGGGGAACACUUUAAAAAUAUUUAACAUCAUCAUCUGUGCUUGUUUUUCCUACUAUGCUGAGGUAUAGUGACUCUGUUGCCUUGGUGAUGUGGACUAAAUAUGUAUGUUUUCUCCUUCCCCUGGGUCUGAGGCCUCAGGUCAUGGUGUUAGUCAGGGGUGUCACUCUACGCUGGGAGCCUGGUCAGUGUCUCAACAUUAGGUCAUGCAGGAAAGCCAAUUCAAAUAGGUUAAACUAGCAUCUCAGCCUCUUGAGGUCUUAUGCUUAAAGGAAACCUGGUCUACCCACAUUCCUGAGACUAGGAAUACAGGGAGAGCCUGUUUUCUCUAAGGCAAUGUGUCUUCAGUUCAUUUUUAGUUUCAGAAUUAACUUUGUGUGAAGCCUGCCUAUAAUGUAGCCAUUCUAUGUAUCUGACAUACUCAGCCAAGGUCAGUUCAGCUCAGUGAACUUUUUUUUUUUAAAGAUUUUAAUUUAUUUGUUUGACAGAAAGAGAGCACAAGUAGGGUGAGAGGCAGAGUCAGAGGGAGAGGGAGAAGCAGGCUCCCCGCUGAGUAGGAAGCCCGAUGCAGGACUCGAUCCCAGGACCCCGGGAUCACGACCUGAGCCAGAGGCAGAUGCUUCACUGACUGAGCCACCCAGGCGUCCCCUCAGUGAACAUUUUUUGAAUACCUGCUAGGUUCUAGGUGAUGUGGCACAAAGAUGAAUAAUACACAAGUGGCCCUUGCCCUUAAGGAACUUCCAGGCUAGUGAGUAAAUUUACAUUUUUUAAAAAUCUGGGUAAUGGUGACAGCCCAAUACCGAUUUAUAAAGCCACUGGGAACUACUAAUACUUUUACAAUUUCGGUCACCAAACUUUGCAAAUUACACAUGAGCUAAAUAUAAAAAUAUUCCUUAGAUUGUAUCCAAUGUGAGAAGGUUAAAAACAUCCAGAUGUCUUGGAGUUGCAAUGAUUCAGCAUUCCAACUCAGAUGGCUGACCCAUUGUGCAGUAAUAGAAAGGCCUGAUCAGCCCUCUUCUAGCAGACUAUUAUAGUGGUUUGGUGGUGGUCUCUUGGCAGCUGCAUUUUUCCUUUUCUUUUUUUCUAAUGUUCUGGACCCAAAACAGACAGCUGGAUUUAUCCCAGGGGUAGUCAUGAACAUUUCCAAUUCGAGGAAUUUGAUAGUCCCCAAACAGAAGGUCAUAUGCCAUUUGUCAAACAAUGAUUAUAUCCAGCCAAGUUCCUCCUUUGGAUACAAAUCAGCUACUGAGGAUACAGUAUUUCUAAGCAUAGUACUUCAAAAAAUAUAAGAAUGGCAAAUGACUCAAUUUGCACAGGUAUUUCAUUACAAUAAAUAUUUUACUUUUCUGUUGUUCAUGAGAAUAUUAAUAAUGUAGCAGUCAUAUAUUAAUGGGAAUAUGAAAUGAAUGUAUGCCCAAACAAAAUGUGGUAAAUAUUUUAACUUUGUUUAUCUAGGUUCCUUAAUUUUGAGAAUAUAUCUCUCAAGGCUCUUCACGAAACUCAAAAUGUUCCAAUUUCUAAAGGAGUAUCCACUAGAACUGAUUUAUAAUGAAAGGAAAAAAAUGAAAAUGUAUGCAUCCUAUGUCAAUAUAACCAUCACUUCUGAGGUCUCAAGCAAUCAGAAACUUACUCAAGUAAGAAUUAGGCCAUUAAAAUAUAUUUGGAAAGCCCUUCAGAACACUUAUGUUUAGAAUGUUACUAGUUGUGUUAAGGCAGUAAGAAUUAGAUUAAAUAUAAUUGUUCUUAAUAUCCCAGUCUCUCAGCAAUAGUUCCUAAAGAAAUCAUGGCUGUCAACAUGGAGACUGAUGCAUGUAAAUGUAUACUUUGUAUUAUAUGUUUUUAUAUUUUGUAUGUAUACUUUUUAUAACAGGUAAAAGAAUGAGUACAUAUAAUGAACUAUAACACCAAUUUGUUUAAUAUUGUAUUAAAACUAAUUAAGUAUUUGUAAAGGACUACAACUCCAUCAGAACAGGAGUGAAUAAUGUGAUUGAGAACCAGUUUUUAAUCUGUGUUGAGACUAUUAAGCAUGCAGGUUGGUUCGUUGAUUGGUUGGUUUGCUUAAGAGGCUGGCCUCCUGGAGAAUAUAAUUUAUGUAUGGGAAAAUAUACAGGAGAUGAUUCACUGGAAUUCUCCUAGUAAUAUCCUGUUCAUCCAAACUACUUAGUACUAUUAAUUUUUGUCUCCUGGAGUGAAAAAUGAAAGGACACCAAAUUUUAUCCAUGAACACUUUGAGAAAUAAAAGAUCAAUUAGUGAAGUAAUUUCUAAUUAAAAUCCUAAUUGUUAACAGAGAAUGACAUGCUUCAUUAUUGUUCAAUUCUAAUUAAAUGGGUUAUCUAACACAUUUUAAAAUCUCAUUUUAAAAGUAAAACAAAUUAUGAUUUCCACAUCCUAUUUUUUAUUGCUCUUGUUCCAUUCCUCAAUUUUAAAGUACUUUAAUUUCAGCUAAUAUGUGAGUAGAGGGAACUUUUAGGGUAUAAUCAUUCACUCUCUUCAGGUUCAUUGUAAGUGUUCCCAGAACUCUACCAUAGGGGGAAAUAACUCAAUUUAAAAUAUGCAAAGAUUAGUUUUCUCUCCUUCUAAUUUUAAUUUUGUAUCACAGGACAUGAUUGUGAAUGAUAACUGUGAACUUUCAUUUAAUCUUCUGUGGUGAAAUAAGUAAUUUCUAUUGAUUUUCACAAGCAUGUGAGCAAAAGACUGUUUUAAUAAGCAAUAAAUCAUGUAAGCACUUGCUUGGAGGAAGUGCCAUUUCUCCAAACAUAUGCCUUGAAAACAAAUUAAAUUCAGUUCCCUUUUUGCCUUGGGGAAAGCCAUAUUGGGGAGACUUUUGAGGUCGGGCAAUCUGUUUUUAUUCUUCCCACUUUCUAUUUCAAAAGGGGACACUCUCUCUCUUUGUCACCAAAUGCUGGGGUUGUCCUUUUAUGCUGAUGCAUGAUGAAACCCUGAGGCUUGGAAACUUGCACACUAAUGAGAUGAUUUUGUGAUGAAACUGCAUGUUGGAUUGAUACUGCCCGUGAAUGAGCUUAAAUUUGAGACAACUUUUAAAAGGAGCAGUGCACGUUCUUCUGGUUUUGCUUCCCUAUCAGCAGGGCUUGAAAUGUCUGUUUCUGCAUACAGAUGUCUUACCAAUAAUUUUUCUCAUGAUCUGAAAGAUUUUGUAUGUACUUCUUGGUCUGGAUUCUGUUUUCAUCAGGUCUAAUGCUGAUGAACUCAUUUUGUAAAGCCAAAAUUCACUGUUCCCAUAAACAUCUGGACUAGGUUGGGCAGGAUGAGGAGGAUGGGAGGAGAGUCCUUUUUGCCAUGUAGGCUCUGGAAGGUUUCUUGGAGAGUUGACUUAUGCGGGAUUAGAAAAAAGUACGCUUUUGCCUGACUAAGGUAUUUCUAAAAGUUGCUUGUGUGAGCAUUUUAGAUUUCAGAAAGUUCAACCUGAAAUGUAUGUGAAUAUAGAGUAGAAAGUUUCACUUAGUGGGAUAACCACUGUCUGUAGCCCAUCAAGUUAACGUGUCUCCUAAAUGCUUUCCAAAAGUACAGGACUAGAAAACAUUUUUCACGGGCAAUGCUUUAUUCUGUUUUAAAAAUAGUAGGGGCUAAAGUCUAGUAAAAACUCGGACACUUAUGCUGUACUGAUUUUAUAUCGUGACUUACAAGGUACAAAUUUUGUAUUUUGUAAAAUAUUUUGAAAGAAGUCUGCAAAGUAAUUCCCCUUUCUUGCUCCCAAAUGUGGAAGUCUGAGAGAAGGCACAUGGCCCCAUGAGUUUCUGGGUGUUGUCAAACCCAAUUCUCUCUCAACUACCAAAUGCCCAGAUACAUUUACUGGGAAUGCAGGAGUCUCAUUUAAGCUGUGGUUUUUGCCUAUGUAAAGAGAAACAUCUUGAUUAAAGUGUGAGGGGAGAGAAACCAUACCGAUUUGGGCAGUUUGGGCUCAAUAAUGUAUAAUUUGCUGUGAAAGGGGAACUUGCUCUAAGUUCAUGUUCUUAAAAGCAACUUCUGAACUUCUCCUAAAUAAGUAUUUACUUUAUACAAAAGCUGUUUGAGGAAGAUUGCAUGGCACAGAUUAAAUGUACAGAUGUUAUCUUAAAACUUAAGGAGUUCCCUUAUGAAUUUGAAUAUUCAAUACCAGCUGUUAGUCACAUCAACAUUUUAAUAUUUUACCAUCUAGGUAUUUAAUAAAAGGGAUUGAUGCAUAUUUAGCUGUGUAAAGUGUUAGUUAAACUUGUUCAGGUGGCUAAGAAGGAGAGGGAGAGAACAUUCCCAGAGCACCUACUAUAUGCACAAGCUCUAUUCCAGUAUCUUGCUUCAUCUUUAGUAUGAUUCCAUGAGGUAAAUUUUAGUUCUCAUUUUACAAAUGAGGAAACUAAGGCACCUGAGGGGUUAUAGAACUUUCCUGAAGAUACAUACAGAAUUGGGAUGUGGACCUAGGUCUGCCUGACUGCAAACCCUGUUUUGCAGAAAGUCUGCCUUCACAUUUCAAAAAAUAACCUCGGCCCACAGUCGUAUCGCCAUCUUUAUUUCUGGGUUAUUGGAGAGGAGUCCAAGUUGGCCACGCCUCUGAUCCACAGCAGGGAAACAGUAGGAUUCGAAUGUGGUUAAGAACGGGCUGCUUGCACAGGGUCUUAUUUGUGCUUCUGAGGGAACCGCUGCCCUCUUCGUCGGUGGGGUAUAUGGAGAGAAUCUUUUGAAACUGGACUUAGUCCUGAGGGCUGAACUUUUUCUAUUAGUCACCUUCAGGCCAGGUGACUUGUGACCAUUUAAAGGUUAUGCCAUUUAGAAGCCUUGGCUGAUAACGCCAUUUAGGAAAGGAUACAAGGGGGAGAGUUAGUUAAAUGGGGGAGAUUAUAGGGUAUAAUGUGCAAGGGCAGGAUAGCAGCUGCUUUGUGACUAUCAAUAUAUCCAAAAGAUAAAUGGGGAAGAGUAGUGAAUAUUAAAAUUAAUGAGAGGAGCAGUUUGGUUCAGUUAUAAUCUAAGGAGAAAAGUUGAGGGGUCUAAUCUAUGUAUUGUUCCAGAUGCAGUGAUUGAAUUUUCAGAAAGAAGAUCCAAUGAUUUAAUUUUCAGAAGGAAGGUCUAGUGAUUAGACUCAUGCAAGGAGAUGGCCUGGGGCCUGCUAAAAGUCAGGUUGCAAUUUCCAUAGCGUUCAAGACAACCAGAAUAAUAAAUAGGACUUUCAGAAGGAACUUAAAGUUUUCUCCCAUUUCACAUAUUAGCCUCGGGGUGGGGGGUGGGGGUCUUAUCAUUUCUGAAGUUGGUUAGACCUGUGCUGUAACUCCAAAAUACAUACUGGAU